Formica exsecta is the source of this 3929-nucleotide long non-coding RNA. RefSeq lists it as uncharacterized. The record is from RefSeq and is a predicted model, not a curated record. NCBI's taxonomy places the organism in Eukaryota, Metazoa, Arthropoda, Insecta, Hymenoptera, Formicidae. The transcript is spliced from 4 exons.
GUACAGGACCUCCCCCCUACCACCUACCUACAUACCUCUGCGCGUCAAAACAUCGUAGUAAACAAAUACGAGGCUUCUUCCCCCACUAUUCACAUUCCAUGGCGCCUCAAAAUAUAGUUGUAAUAGGCAAACAUGUGUUGUCUUUGUCAGGCGGUCGAGACGGAAAGAUCGCGGUCGCGAUUUCUUUGAUUAUCACGGUCAGGCAAAAAUAGGCUAACACGUCUCUUAGAAUAUUUCUAAUACUAUAUUUAAUUAUUUGUAUGGAACUGCGUAUACGUAUUCGUUUAAAAGAUACCGAGCACGCGACUCGACAAUUUGAAACGUCAAUCUUGACCGUAAUCAGUGGAACGUCCGCUUAACCCGGAUGUUAAGAAGGAAAACGAGAGAAUUAAACGAGCAAGAGGAUCUCUCCUUUCGUCUUUGCUUUAGGAAGACGAUCGCGGGAGUGACGUACGAAUAAGUGGAAACUGCAAUUUCGCGGAGCUCGUUUCUCCGUUUAAACGAUCCGUAAACUUGCUCCGCGCAUCAUUGCGAGUGAUCUCUCAACCGCGAAUGCCUCUAUUUUAUUUCAAUCGAUCUCACGGAAGAGGAAAAAUACAUGACACGCUUUUAUUAUCGACGCGAAAUCAAGACAGGAAUAAGAUAAAAAUCGUGUUUCCCGGCGAACGACGCCUUUCGCGCAAUACAGUACACAAAUAUCUAUAUAUCUAAAUAAUUUUACAAACAUUAAAAUAUACGUAGUGAAAAAAAUUCAAUUUUUCGAUAUAUCGCACUUCAUCACGCGAUUCGAUAAAUUAGAGAGAUGAUUUAAUAUUAAUGGUUGACCAACAGUUGGAUAUAUCGUAAACACAAUUGUAAAUUUAAAUCAUACGUAUAUCGCGAAUAGCAUAUGAAAUGAAUUGACCAAUAUUUAUAUCGAAAACAUUCCCUUCUUUUUUAUAAAAAAAAAAUAACAGUCGAUUAUUUUUAGUUGUGCGAACGAUCAACAAAGCAACGAUAAUCUCGUAUAUUUUGAAUAAUUCUCUUUAAUUUUAAUUCGUAUUUAUUCACACAUCUGUAUUAUAAUACGAGAUAAUAAUCAUUUUAAAACAAGAGUGUAUACUAUUUAUUAAAAAUGCGGAAAGACAACAAAAAUAGCAGCUAAAACGACAAUAGUAAUAUAAUAUCGUCACGUGCUGGGGUGAAGUGUCAAGUUGGUCGCGCGAUUAACGUCGCUUCUUGCAAUCGUGCUCCUUUUCGACAUAAUGUAAUAAAGUGCGCGUCGCGUAUGUAUAAAGUCGGGAGUGCCAUACAAAUGUGCCGCGCGAUCGUGUUCUCGCGAGUGAGUGCGAAUAUUGCGCGAGUGCUAAGAGGGAUUUGCAACAGAGGAACAAGAAAGGAGGAGGCCAGCCAAGGUGGCAUCAGGCAACGGCGGAGCAACCUACAGAUUAACAUCUUAUACAACUCCCCUGCUGCGCAUCUGUAUCGCUAUUCGAAAUUAAACGGACUAUCACGAUUAGCUUUUAUUCGCCAUCGACAAAAAUGAUGUCGUUCAGCCAAACGACUCGAUCGGGAAUAGAACUGACAUCAGCUAGCAAUUUCUUGAGGACGACUAUUAGAGUAUGGCAUGGCGGAUUAUUUCGCCACGUUUUGUAAUCGCAUUAAUGUUUAAACCGUCGGUACGUUUAUACACUUUUGCACAAAUGUGCAUCGCGUUUUAUUUAAUUAAGGUUAAAACGCGAGCGUCUUUGUUCGUCGACGCGUUGCGGGAAGCGAGCGCCGUUAAAAUAAAGUUAAGUGAGCGAUUAUGCUCUUUACGGUAUGUAAUAAGCUCAAACUGACAACUUCCUGGCCGUGGAAUCAGUGAAAAUAGAGAAAAUCUUUAACGUGCCGAGAAAAUAUAGUGUCGUGUAAAAAAACACUAUCGCAAACCGGCUCGAUAACCGGUAUGUAUGCAUUUUUCAAAUUCCAUCUAUUUUUAUUGUAAUCUUAAAAAGCUUAUACAAGAAGCUCUUGAUUGAAUCAAUAUCACGGAUCUGCAUAUGUAUGUAACAUUAGAUUUUUUUAAAUUGUCGAGAAGGAUUAUUCUUUAUAACUAUAGAAGAUUAAAUAUAUAUAACUCAGACUUUUUUUCUAAAAUAAUAUGCAAAUACGUUUGUUUGCCAUAAUAAAGUUUAUUGUUGCGCGCGUACUGCGUUGAUGUUCGAUCGCGCGACAAUUUAAUCUCGUUAUUGCGUUAUCCCACAGGAUGAUAUGUGCGUGCAAGCCGGUGCACAGUGCCUACUUAAUAAACCUACUUAAAUUGCGAGGAUUUCCGCUUUUAUCCAGAUAGUAGUAUUCCGUUCUUGUAUUUCGCGUCCCUACUCAUGUUUCGAGAAACGACCUGUGAAUUCUUAAAAACUUCGACGGUUCUACUAUUCGUCGCUAAGUCUAUUAAGGAUAAGCGGAUAAGCUUUGGGAGUGUCCGACUUCAAGUCCUCGAGAUCGAUAUCAUUUUCCGCACUUUAGCAUAAUUUAUUAACGCUUAAAUGCAAAAUGAUGAUUUAACGGUACUCCUUAAUCUUUUAUCCAUAAAAUAGGUUGAUUUAGAAGACCGGUUUGCAUCCUUUAGAGAUGAGAGAAAAGCCAAGUCAAGUUAAUAAAUAUGAUUUAAAUCUCGAAUUAAAUCAUUUCUCAGACAGAUCUUAUCACAGAGUACAUAAAACUCAUCUUGUACAGAUUAGUUAUUUAGUCUAAUGAUUUCAUAGCAAGUAAGAGAACGAAUAAAUUGUAACGUCUUGUUUUAGUAUACUGCCUCUCUUACAGCAUAAAAACUGCUGAGAAUAAAGUAAGCGGACAAGAGUGAUAUAAUGUCCAUUAAACUUGGCAGCAGGACGCAGGAAUGUAAUCAACGCUCUAUUGUCUCCCGACUUUAUUAACAGGGAAGGCAUUGGCUAUUUGAUAACAUACGUAGGUAUUUCACUUUGUACCGAUGGGGAAAAUUCCCGCGUGUCGCAAGUAAUUAAAAUUAACAGUGUACAUGUACAGAGUACACUGAGACAAUUAGGGCCAGGAAUGCGGCAGCUAUCGAGGAAUCGAUAAGUGUGUAUCCCUGUACUUAGAUACAGUCACUCCAGAUAAAUCUAUAAACCGCUUCAUGGCUGUCCGAAGCGUCCUAUCUUCUCGCUCUUCCGUAAUGUAUUUAAUUAAUAUAAUUGCAGCAUUCUAUUUAUCACGUCACCGAAGGCGUGCCGGAAUGCACUGUCGUAUCCCGCAAUGAAAUUAUGAUUUCCGUGACACGCUCGGAGCAAUAAACUUACUCGGAAUCCUACAGUUACAUUGAGGCAGAACGCGUUUUAUUCUGCGGCGCGCGAUAAAUCUGCCGAGUAAAAAAAAAAAGAAAAAGACGGGAGAAAAAAGCGUAAAAUCGCAAAAGAGCGAACGAUCCGCAAAUGUCGCGCGAACAUCGCGCAUUCAGUCGAGAUGAAAGACCGUAAAAUUUGAUGCGAUGCUUUUUACUCGGCGACCACACAGUCGAGCUCGUAGACUAAUUACGAGGAUUAUUUCCACGCGUGCGAAGUAAUAUGCCUUGUAAUUCACCUUAGAGAGAGAUUGCAGGCUCGUGCGCGAUUAAAUGCCGCGAUUCAAUCCCUUUCGCGACGUUGAACCAUCAAAGGAUGCGCGAGAUUGUAUGGUUUUGCUUUUUUUAUUAGAACAAUUCGCGAAUUGAAAAUUCUCUUCAUUUUUUUAAACGUAUUUCAUAUCUAAAUGGAAAAAAAUUGUUGUGGUAUCUGUCUGGUUUAUAACGCACUGUAAUGUUUGUCAUAAAAUUUCGUAAUAGCUGCUAGCAUCGUGAGUUAAUAAAGUUUCAUUUCGUUGUAUACGACACACGCUGACUACACAAGUUUAACAUUAACGUCUUCUAUAUCUCUCCAGUUUCUCUUUCUUCGUGAUAGUAUAAAAAACUGAUA